This 610-nucleotide long non-coding RNA is filed under the name Homo sapiens (human). Its description in RNAcentral is "non-protein coding TMEM161B-AS1:57". Lineage: Eukaryota; Metazoa; Chordata; Mammalia; Primates; Hominidae. The record is from RNAcentral.
AGAGCGCCGUCGACCCCACGCCACGCAGAGGUGAAGAUACGCAGGACGUCCUCUAAAGCAACUUCCGUGGGUGCCAGGUUGUGGGCUGGGGGCGGUGCUGACCUUGAGAGAGCGGAGGAGGCGCAGGCGCAGCACAGUUUAAACUUGAUUUUGUGAGGGGACGAACAGCGUGACAAUUAAAAGAAGAUCUGGGAAUCGAAUACCCAUCUCGAGUUCUGGAUAUGUGCUCUGAGAAGGUGCCCAUGUCACCGACCACACUGGAGGCCAAUGCAGAUACUGGGGGAAGGUUCCAUGGUAGCUAAGUGUGGACAAGCUAAUCACUGAAGUUCCCUGAUGCAGAGUUGAUAAUCUCUCUAGAGUUGGAUGAAAGACUGUGCUGCCUUGAAGCUCUGAGAGAUGCCAUGCCAAUUCAAGGCAGGGUCUUUAUUGUUGAAACUCUUGCGUAAUGACAUCUUUAUUCAGGUGAAAAUACAGGAUGAAUUUCAACUAUAUGAUAUUGUUUAUGUUCCUCAGACAUGUUAUUUGUCUUUACAAAGAUUGGUUUCAAUAAACUGUGUGACUGAUAUUAAAUAAACAUGGAAUUUUACACAUUCAUAAUAUUUGGUUUCUU